RNAcentral lists this non-coding RNA (29 nucleotides) under Homo sapiens (human). Lineage: Eukaryota; Metazoa; Chordata; Mammalia; Primates; Hominidae. The record is from RNAcentral.
UAAACAAGUUGCCACUGGGUACUAAUGGA